CAUCGUUUUUUGAUAAAAUAAUUUAAGAUCUGACCUGCCCAAUGAAAUUUAAAUGGCCGCGGUAAUUUGACCGUGCAAAGGUAGCAUAAUCAUUAGUUUCUUAAUUAGAAGCUGGAAUGAAUGGUUGGACGAGAAAGAUUCUGUCUCUUUAUAAUUAUAUAGAAUUUUAUUUUUAAGUUAAAAAGCUUAAAUUUUUUUGAAAGACGAGAAGACCCUAUAGAGUUUAAUUAAUGGUAGAUUAAUUUUUUAAUAGGAAUUUAUUAAUAUUAUUUUUUUAUUAAUUUGGUUGGGGUGAUUGAAAGAUAAAUAAAACUCUUUUUUUAUUUAAUUUAUUAAUAUAUAUUUAUAUGAUCCAAUUUUUUUGAUUAUAAGAAUAAAUUACCUUAGGGAUAACAGCGUAAUUUUUAUGGAGAGUUCUUAUCGAUAUAAGAGUUUGCGACCUCGAUGUUGGAUUAAAAUUUAUUUUAGGCGGAGAAGCUUUGAAAUUAAGUCUGUUCGACUUUUAAAAUUUUACAUGAUCUGAGU
RNAcentral lists this ribosomal RNA (525 nucleotides) under Ptilodactylidae sp. UPOL RK0151. RNAcentral's name for it is "partial 16S ribosomal RNA". It matches the Rfam family "Bacterial large subunit ribosomal RNA", at positions 1814 to 2610 of the family's 2925-position model. Lineage: Eukaryota; Metazoa; Arthropoda; Insecta; Coleoptera; Ptilodactylidae. The record is from RNAcentral.